UCCUGCAGUCGAACGAGAAAGUCCCUUCGGGGGCGAUUAAAGUGGCGGACGGGUGAGUAACGCGUGGGUAAUCUACCUUUUAGUGGGGGACAACUUGCCGAAAGGCGGGCUAAUACCGCAUGAUACGGUUGGUUCACAAGGGCCGACCGUCAAAGGUGGUCUGCUUGCAGGCUGCCGCUGAAAGAUGAGCCCGCGUCCCAUUAGCUUGUUGGCGGGAUAACAGCCCACCAAGGCGACGAUGGGUAGCCGACCUGAGAGGGUGAUCGGCCACACUGGGACUGAGACACGGCCCAGACUCCUACGGGAGGCAGCAGUGGGGAAUAUUGCGCAAUGGGCGAAAGCCUGACGCAGCAACGCCGCGUGAGUGAUGAAGGCCUUCGGGUCGUAAAGCUCUGUCGCAGGGAACGAAAGCCAUCGCCUGAAUAGGGCGAUGGUAUGACGGUACUCUGCAAGAAAGCCCCGGCCAACUCCGUGCCAGCAGCCGCGGUAAGACGGAGGGGGCGAGCGUUGUUCGGAAUUACUGGGCGUAAAGGGCGCGUAGGCGGUCAUGCAAGUCGGAGGUGUAAGCCCACGGCUCAACCGUGGAAUUGCCUUCGAAACUGCAUGACUUGAGUACGGAAGAGGAGAGCGGAAUUCCCAGUGUAGCGGUGAAAUGCGUAGAUAUUGGGGAGGAACACCAGUGGCGAAGGCGGCUCUCUGGUCCGAAACUGACGCUGAGGCGCGAAAGCCAGGGGAGCAAACGGGAUUAGAUACCCCGGUAGUCCUGGCCGUAAACGUUGUGCACUAUGUGUAGGAGGUAUCGACCCCUUCUGUGCCGAAGCUAACGCAUUAAGUGCACCGCCUGGGGAGUACGAUCGCAAGAUUGAAACUCAAAAGAAUUGACGGGGGCCCGCACAAGCGGUGGAGCAUGUGGUUUAAUUCGACGCAACGCGAAGAACCUUACCAGGGCUUGACAUCCUUUGACUGCUAUGGAAACAUAGUAUUCCCUUCGGGACGAGUGACAGUGCUGCAUGCUGUCGUCAGCUCGUGUCGUGAGAUGUGGGUAGUCCGCACCGAGCGCAUCAGCUCUGUUGCAUCGGAUGCGUCACUCUGAGGACUGCGGCAUAGCUGAGAGUGGGAUGACGUCAGUCUCAUGCUUUAUGCCCUG
RNAcentral lists this ribosomal RNA (1147 nucleotides) under uncultured bacterium. RNAcentral's name for it is "bacterial SSU rRNA". It matches the Rfam family "Bacterial small subunit ribosomal RNA", at positions 53 to 1211 of the family's 1533-position model. The record is from RNAcentral.